Lotus japonicus is the source of this 620-nucleotide long non-coding RNA. RefSeq lists it as uncharacterized. The transcript is spliced from 2 exons. NCBI's taxonomy places the organism in Eukaryota, Viridiplantae, Streptophyta, Magnoliopsida, Fabales, Fabaceae. The record is from RefSeq and is a predicted model, not a curated record.
UUGAGAAACACAUUAAUCAACCUAAAACCUUUCUGCUUCAUCCUAAUCUCUCUUCAGCCGCAGCUUCCUCGCCGGUGGUGGCUCCACCACCGUGUUCCAGCUUCUAGGCCUCCUCAACCGAAGUAUCUCCUCCACCCGCGAGUCCUUCUCCGCCCCCUCCCCCGCCGCCGCAAGCCCCUUUUCAUCUGACAAGAAUCACCUCAUCCGUCGCAAGCACGCCUCUGGCACAAACUUUUGCGAGCCUAUGUACGCUCCCAUCACCCAGGAGAUUUAGUGUGGAAUUUGGUUUAUCCAAUUUGAGAGAACACGAUUUCAAAGUGAUAAAGCUAAAGCAGUGCAUUUGCAAUUUCAAAGUGCUAGGAAGUCCCAAGUUGGAAGACUUGAAGCACAGCAAGGGCAACAAAGAAUGGUUUUAAAGUGGAAGAAUGCUUUGAGGAGUGGUAGAAGAUAUUGCUCCCCUUCUUUAUGGAUUUGUCGAUGUAACAUGCCUGCAAAGCAAUUGCUUGCCAUUUUCUAUAAAAAAAAUUGUAAAUUGAUCUCAUUAACUCUCUUAUUGUCUGUUUCAACCAAUAAAAUUAUGUCAUGUUAACUAACAAUGCAUGGAUAUGACAUUUUUAUAA